ACUCCUACGGGAGGCAGCAGUAGGGAAUCUUCCACAAUGGGCGCAAGCCUGAUGGAGCAGCACCGCGUGAGUGAAGAAGGGUUUCGGCUCGUAAAGCUCUGUUGUUAAAGAAGAACACGUAUGAGAGUAACUGUUCAUACGUUGACGGUAUUUAACCAGAAAGUCACGGCUAACUACGUGCCAGCAGCCGCGGUAAUACGUAGGUGGCAAGCGUUAUCCGGAUUUAUUGGGCGUAAAGAGAGUGCAGGCGGUUUUCUAAGUCUGAUGUGAAAGCCUUCGGCUUAACCGGAGAAGUGCAUCGGAAACUGGAUAACUUGAGUGCAGAAGAGGGUAGUGGAACUCCAUGUGUAGCGGUGGAAUGCGUAGAUAUAUGGAAGAACACCAGUGGCGAAGGCGGCUACCUGGUCUGCAACUGACGCUGAGACUCGAAAGCAUGGGUAGCGAACAGGAUUAGAUACCCUGGUAGGCUAGCC
This 473-nucleotide ribosomal RNA is filed under the name uncultured bacterium. Its description in RNAcentral is "bacterial SSU rRNA". It matches the Rfam family "Bacterial small subunit ribosomal RNA", at positions 335 to 801 of the family's 1533-position model. The record is from RNAcentral.